CCUACGGGUGGCAGCAGUGGGGAAUAUUGCACAAUGGGGGAAACCCUGAUGCAGCGACGCCGCGUGAGGGAUGAAGUAAUUCGUUAUGUAAAGUGCUAUUAUCAGGGAAGAAAAUGACGGUACCUGAGUAAGAAGCCUCGGCUAACUACGUGCCAGCAGCCGCGGUAAUACGUAGGGGGCAAGCGUUAUCCGGAUUUACUGGGUGUAAAGGGAGGGUAGAGGGCAGUGAAAGGUUGAAGGAAAAGGCGGGGGCUAACCCCCCAGACUAUUCUCGAAACUGUACGGCUCGAGUGCAGGAGAGGUAAGUGGAAUUUCUAGUGUAGCGGUGAAAUGCGUAGAUAUUAGGAGGAACACCAAUGGCGAAGGCAGCUUACUGGACUGUAACUGACGUUGAGGCACGAAAGCGUAGGGAGCAAACGGGAUUAGAUACCCCAGUAGUC
Molecule: ribosomal RNA, 440 nt
Filed under: uncultured bacterium
Lineage: Bacteria
Description: partial 16S ribosomal RNA
Rfam family: Bacterial small subunit ribosomal RNA
Source: RNAcentral